CCAAAAGCUGUGGACCUACUGUCAGCAGCAUUUGCAGACCAUUGGAAAGCAUUGCGAGGUUAUUUAGCAUGCACAACAAAACACUGUGCUGCGCCAAUCUAAAUCUUCCCCAUAGAGAUGUAUUGAAUUAGUGUAUCGAUAUGGGGAACAUUCAGCGCCUACAUGCAGAGUGUGGGGACACUGAAUGUAGGUACUGCAGCACUGGACUAGGAGUCACACUGAGUGAAUGUUACUAGGCAGCAAUGUAAACACUGCCUUUUCUUUGAAAGUGCCAACAUUGCAAGGACAGGCUAUAGGCACC
Pelobates cultripes (western spadefoot toad) is the source of this 301-nucleotide non-coding RNA. NCBI's taxonomy places the organism in Eukaryota, Metazoa, Chordata, Amphibia, Anura, Pelobatidae. The record is from the annotation of a GenBank genome assembly.